CAGGACGACUUCCGGAGACGGAUUUCUUCCAGCAAUGGACCUGCACACAGGUGCUGCAUGGCUGUCGUCAGCUCGUGUCGUGAGAUGUUGGGUUAAGUCCCGCAACGAGCGCAACCCUCGCCUUUAGUUGCCAUCAUUCAGUUGGGCACUCUAAAGGGACUGCCGGUGAUAAGCCGCGAGGAAGGUGGGGAUGACGUCAAGUCCUCAUGGCCCUUACGGGCUGGGCUACACACGUGCUACAAUGGCGGUGACAAUGGGAUGCGAGCCUGCGAGGGUGAGCAAAUCUCCAAAAGCCGUCUCAGUUCGGAUUGCACUCUGCAACUCGAGUGCAUGAAGUUGGAAUCGCUAGUAAUCGUGGAUCAGCAUGCCACGGUGAAUACGUUCCCGGG
Molecule: ribosomal RNA, 389 nt
Filed under: Azorhizobium sp. VA4
Lineage: Bacteria; Pseudomonadati; Pseudomonadota; Alphaproteobacteria; Hyphomicrobiales; Xanthobacteraceae
Description: bacterial SSU rRNA
Rfam family: Bacterial small subunit ribosomal RNA
Source: RNAcentral